GUAGGGUAUUGGCUUACCGUGGCAGUGACGGUUAACGGGGGAUUAGGGUUCGAUUCCGGAGAGGGAGCCUGAGAAACGGCUACCACAUCUAAGGAAGGCAGCAGGCGCGCAAAUUACCCAAUCCUAACAGCAUAAGGGAGGUAGUGACAAGAAAUAACAAUACAAGGCAAUUAAAAUGCUUUGUAAUUGGAAUGAUAGAAAUUUAAACACUUUCUAAAGUAUCAAUUGGAGGGCAAGUCUGGUGCCAGCAGCCGCGGUAAUUCCAGCUCCAAUAGCGUAUAUUAAAGUUGUUGCAGUUAAAAAGCUCGUAGUUGGAUUUCUGUUAAAAAUAACUGGUCUGCUUUUUAAUGAAAGUGGUACCUUGGUGUGUUUUUAGCAUUAAUGUCCUAUGAAAUGUUUUUUACUUUAUUGUUAAAAGCAAUAUUCAGGAUUUUUACUUUGAGAAAAUUAGAGUGUUUCAAGCAGGCUAACGUUUUGAAUACUGCAGCAUGGAAUAAUAAAAUAGGAUUUUGGUUCUACAUUAUUGGUUUUAAGAACUAAAUUAAUGAUUAAUAGGGACAGUUGGGGGCAUUUGUAUUUGACU
Molecule: ribosomal RNA, 583 nt
Filed under: Haemogregarina sp.
Lineage: Eukaryota; Apicomplexa; Haemogregarinidae
Description: SSU rRNA
Rfam family: Eukaryotic small subunit ribosomal RNA
Source: RNAcentral